RNAcentral lists this ribosomal RNA (931 nucleotides) under uncultured archaeon. Its description in RNAcentral is "bacterial SSU rRNA". It matches the Rfam family "Archaeal small subunit ribosomal RNA", at positions 1 to 918 of the family's 1478-position model. The record is from RNAcentral.
UUCCGGUUGAUCCUGCCGGACCCCACUGCUAUUUGGGUGAGGAUAAGCCAUGCGAGUCGAAUGGGAUACCUAAAUUUCCCAUGGCAAACUGCUCAAUAACACAUGAUCAACUUACCCUAUAGAGAAAAAUAACCUCGGGAAACUGAGGAUAAUGUUUCAUAGUUGAAAAGGCUUGGAAAAGUUUUUCGACCAAAGGGAUAAGAAAAAUGGUUUUUAUCCGCUAUAGGAUAGGAUCGUGGUCGAUUAUGGUCGUUGGUGAGGUAAUGGCUCACCAAGCCGAUAAUCGAUAGGGGCCGUGAGAGCGGGAGCCCCGAGAUGGGUACUGAGACAGCGACCCAGGUCUUACGAGACGCAGCAGGCACGGAACCUCCGCAAUACACGAAAGUGUGACGGGGUUACCCAAAGUGUUCAAUUUUGAACUGUGGUAGGUGAGUAAUGUUCCCUACUAGAAAGGAGAGGGCAAGGCUGGUGCCAGCCGCCGCGGUAAAACCAGCUCUUCAAGUGGUCGGGAUAAUUAUUGGGCUUAAAGUGUCCGUAGCCGGUUUAGUAAGUUCCUGGUAAAAUCGGGUAGCUUAACUAUCUGCAUGCUAGGAAUACUGCUAUACUAGAGGGCGGGAGAGGUCUGAGGUACUACAGGGGUAGGGGUGAAAUCUUAUAAUCCUUGUAGGACCCCCAGUGGCGAAAGCGUCAGACUGGAACGUGCCUGACGGUGAGGGACGAAAGCCAGGGGAGCGAACCGGAUUAGAUACCCCGGGUAGUCCUGGCCGUAAACGAUGCAUACUAGUGAUGGGCAUGGCCAUGAGCCGUGUCAGUGCCCGUAGGAAACCGUUAAGUGUGCCGCCUGGGAAGUACGGUCGCAAGGCUAAAACUUAAAGGAAUUGGCGGGGGAGCACCACCAAGGGUGAAGCCUGCCGUUCAUUGGACUCCACGC